UACGAACUGUGCAAACGUUAUUCGGAAUCACUGGGCUUAAAGGGUGCGUAGGCGGCUGUCUAAGCAGGGUGUGAAAGCCCCCGGCUCAACCGGGGAAUUGCGUUCUGAACUGGACGGCUGGAGUGGGAUAGGGGUGUGUGGAACUUCCGGUGGAGCGGUGAAAUGCGUUGAGAUCGGAAGGAACGCCCGUGGCGAAAGCGAGGUCCUGGACCCUUUCUGACGCUGAGACGCGAAAGCCAGGGGAGCGAACGGG
RNAcentral lists this ribosomal RNA (253 nucleotides) under uncultured bacterium. RNAcentral describes it as "partial 16S ribosomal RNA". It matches the Rfam family "Bacterial small subunit ribosomal RNA", at positions 524 to 776 of the family's 1533-position model. The record is from RNAcentral.